ACUCAAAUGAAUUGACGGGGGCCCGCACAAGCGGUGGAGCGUGUGGCUUAAUUCGAUGCUAAACGAGGAACCUUACCUAGGUUAGAAAUCCAACUGUAUAUCGUCAGAAAAGGCGAUAGCUUCGAGAUCGUUGGACAGGUGCUGCAUGGUUGCCGUCAGCUCGUGUUGUGAAAUGUUCCCUUCAGUGGGGUAACGAGCGCAACCCUUAUCGUGUGUUGAUUUUCACACGAGACUGCCGUGGUUAACACGGAGGAAGGUGGGGACGACGUCAAAUCAGCAUGGCCCUCUGACACCUAGGGCUGCACACGCGCUACAAUGGAUAGGACAAUGAGAUGCAACUACGCGAGUAGAAGGAAUCUUUUAAACCUAUCCUCAGUUCGGAUUGGAGUCUGCAAUUCGACUCCAUGAAGCUGGAAUCGCUAGUAACCGUAAAUCAGCUCGUUACGGUGAAUACGUUCUCGGGCUUUGUACACACCGCCCGU
This 482-nucleotide ribosomal RNA is filed under the name uncultured bacterium. RNAcentral describes it as "partial 16S ribosomal RNA". It matches the Rfam family "Bacterial small subunit ribosomal RNA", at positions 899 to 1397 of the family's 1533-position model. The record is from RNAcentral.